This 403-nucleotide ribosomal RNA is filed under the name uncultured bacterium. Its description in RNAcentral is "bacterial SSU rRNA". It matches the Rfam family "Bacterial small subunit ribosomal RNA", at positions 357 to 776 of the family's 1533-position model. The record is from RNAcentral.
GGGAAUAUUGCGCAAUGGAGGAAACUCUGACGCAGUGACGCCGCGUAUAGGAAGAAGGUCUUCGGAUUGUAAACUAUUGUCGUUAGGGAAGAAAAAGGACAGUACCUAAGGAGGAAGCUCCGGCUAACUACGUGCCAGCAGCCGCGGUAAUACGUAGGGAGCAAGCGUUAUCCGGAUUUAUUGGGUGUAAAGGGUGCGUAGACGGGAAGGCAAGUUGGUUGUGAAAUCCCUCGGCUUAACUGAGGAACUGCAACCAAAACUAUCUUUCUUGAGUGCUGGAGAGGAAAGUGGAAUUCCUAGUGUAGCGGUGAAAUGCGUAGAUAUUAGGAGGAACACCAGUGGCGAAGGCGACUUUCUGGACAGUAACUGACGUUGAGGCACGAAAGUGUGGGGAGCAAACAGG